GCCUGGGUGGCCCAGUCGGUUGAGCGUCUGACUUCGGCUCAGGUCGUGAUCUCACGGUUCGUGGGUUCGAGCCCUGUAUCAGGCU
This 85-nucleotide transfer RNA is filed under the name Felis catus (domestic cat). It matches the Rfam family "tRNA". From Rfam's summary of the family: Transfer RNA (tRNA) molecules are approximately 80 nucleotides in length. Their secondary structure includes four short double-helical elements and three loops (D, anti-codon, and T loops). Further hydrogen bonds mediate the characteristic L-shaped molecular structure. tRNAs have two regions of fundamental functional importance: the anti-codon, which is responsible for specific mRNA codon recognition, and the 3' end, to which the tRNAs corresponding amino acid is attached (by aminoacyl-tRNA synthetases). tRNAs cope with the degeneracy of the genetic code in two manners: having more than one tRNA (with a specific anti-codon) for a particular amino acid; and 'wobble' base-pairing, i.e. permitting non-standard base-pairing at the 3rd anti-codon position. Lineage: Eukaryota; Metazoa; Chordata; Mammalia; Carnivora; Felidae. The record is from Rfam by way of RNAcentral.